This 681-nucleotide ribosomal RNA is filed under the name Escherichia coli. Its description in RNAcentral is "partial 23S ribosomal RNA". It matches the Rfam family "Bacterial large subunit ribosomal RNA", at positions 514 to 1194 of the family's 2925-position model. Lineage: Bacteria; Pseudomonadati; Pseudomonadota; Gammaproteobacteria; Enterobacterales; Enterobacteriaceae. The record is from RNAcentral.
GCGAAAAGAACCCCGGCGAGGGGAGUGAAAAAGAACCUGAAACCGUGUACGUACAAGCAGUGGGAGCACAGAGCAAUCUGUGUGACUGCGUACCUUUUGUAUAAUGGGUCAGCGACUUAUAUUCUGUAGCAAGGUUAACCGAAUAGGGGAGCCGAAGGGAAACCGAGUCUUAACUGGGCGUUAAGUUGCAGGGUAUAGACCCGAAACCCGGUGAUCUAGCCAUGGGCAGGUUGAAGGUUGGGUAACACUAACUGGAGGACCGAACCGACUAAUGUUGAAAAAUUAGCGGAUGACUUGUGGCUGGGGGUGAAAGGCCAAUCAAACCGGGAGAUAGCUGGUUCUCCCCGAAAGCUAUUUAGGUAGCGCCUCGUGAAUUCAUCUCCGGGGGUAGAGCACUGUUUCGGCAAGGGGGUCAUCCCGACUUACCAACCCGAUGCAAACUGCGAAUACCGGAGAAUGUUAUCACGGGAGACACACGGCGGGUGCUAACGUCCGUCGUGAAGAGGGAAACAACCCAGACCGCCAGCUAAGGUCCCAAAGUCAUGGUUAAGUGGGAAACGAUGUGGGAAGGCCCAGACAGCCAGGAUGUUGGCUUAGAAGCAGCCAUCAUUUAAAGAAAGCGUAAUAGCUCACUGGUCGAGUCGGCCUGCGCGGAAGAUGUAACGGGGCUAAACCAUGCAC